RNAcentral lists this unclassified non-coding RNA (403 nucleotides) under soil metagenome. RNAcentral's name for it is "partial contains 5.8S ribosomal RNA, internal transcribed spacer 2, and large subunit ribosomal RNA". The stretch from base 1 to 121 matches the Rfam family "5.8S ribosomal RNA", at positions 35 to 154 of the family's 154-position model. The record is from RNAcentral.
GAUGAAGAACGUAGCGAAAUGCGAUACUUGGUGUGAAUUACAGAACCCGUGAACCAUCGAGUUUUUGAACGCAAGUUACGCCCGAAGCCGUUAGGCUGAGGGCACGCCUGCCUGGGUGUAACACAUCGUUGCCCCAAUGCCAAUCGCCUCACUUUGUAGGUAUUUUCUUGGGGUGAAUGUUGGCCUCCCGUGAGCUUUGUCUCACGGUUGGUUGAAGAUCGAGUGCAUGGUGUCAGGUGUACCAUGAUGGAUGGUGGUUGAGUGAUGAUGCUCGAGACCAAUCAUGGGUAACUCCACCAGAAUUGGGCUCGAUGACCCACAUGUGUCCCUUGGAUGCUCCCUAAGGAAACCUCAGGUCAAGCGGGGCUACCCGCUGAGUUUAAGCAUAUCAAUAAGCGGAGGA